This 274-nucleotide long non-coding RNA is filed under the name Lathyrus oleraceus (garden pea). RNAcentral's name for it is "Pisum sativum (pea) long non-coding RNA (PSAT_LNC003731)". Lineage: Eukaryota; Viridiplantae; Streptophyta; Magnoliopsida; Fabales; Fabaceae. The record is from RNAcentral.
AAUACCACGGAUCUGUUAGCAACAACUCAACUGGUUCUCAAAGCCCCGAGGCUCAAGAAUCCUCUGCUCCACAAGCAACUACAUACUUAACACAUCAUAACACAUUAGCAAUUCCUUAGGAUCUUGAGUCAUAGGCCUAGUUUCCAGACUCAGGUGCCUCUCAUCAUAUUACAACUAGCAUUAUGAAGGUAUAACAUGUUCAUUCUUAUGCAGGAUCUAACAAUGUUGUAAUUGGUAAUGGACAUAGUCUAGAAGUCAAGAAAUUUGGUCACUC